AUGGAUAUCAUGCAGACUAGUGAUUCUUCACAUCAUGGAAUUGUAGAGAACAGCCCUUAUACAACUCCCUAUGAUAGACGUGUGGAAGGUGAUCAACUUGGUGCUUCGUGGUAUUUUAGUAGAAAAGAAAUAGAAGAGAAUUCCCUUUCAAGGAGAGAUGGUAUUGAUUUAAAGAAGGAGUCUUACCUUCGCAAGUCAUACUGCACUUUCCUUCAGGAUUUCGGGAUGAGGCUUAAAGUGCCCCAAGUAACAAUUGCUACAGCUAUAGUAUUUUGUCAUCGUUUUUUCCUUCGUCAAUCUCAUGCCAAAAAUGACAGACAGACAAUAGCCACAGUUUGCAUGUUCUUGGCGGGUAAAGUUGAAGAAACACCUAGACCCCUGAAGGAUGUCGUACUCAUCUCUUAUGAGAUCAUCCACAAAAAGGAUCCUGCUGCAGUCGCUCGAAUUAAGCAGAAGGAAGUGUAUGAACAACAGAAGGAAGUGUAUGAACAACAGAAGGAACUUCUUUUGAUCGGGGAGCGCCUUGUGCUUGUAACACUUGGUUUUGACAUGAAUGUGCACCACCCUUACAAGCCUUUGGUUGAAGCAAUAAAAAAAUUCAAGGUUGCUCAAAAUGCACUUGCUCAAGUUGCCUGGAAUUUUGUCAAUGAUGGGCUACGCACUUCGCUUUGCCUGCAAUUUAAGCCCCAUCAUAUUGCGGCCGGCGCAAUCUUCCUUGCUGCAAAGUUCCUCAAAGUCAAGCUUCCAGCAGACGGGGAAAAGGUCUGGUGGCAAGAGUUUGAUGUAACUCCACGGCAGUUGGAAGAGGUUAGCAACCAAAUGUUGGAGCUCUACGAGCAGAACCGUGUUGGACCACCACCUUCACAAGGGAAUGAUACCGAAGGCAGCUCUGCAAGUGUGGUUAAUCAGCGUGCUCCUGUGAAAACUGAGGAGCCUCCUGCCCAUGAAACUCAUCAAGCACCUAGACAGUCGAGCGUACCAGGCCGUCACGGGCAUGACCACCCUCAGCCUGAAAAGCAGAACUCAAACCAGAGGAUACCCAAGAGUGAAGCAAGGGAUGGCACUACCAACAGCAAUGAAGGCACAAAUAUGUCCUCAUCAAUGAUGGAUGCGAUGAAAAAGAUAGAUAAGGAUAAGGUGAAAGCUGCGCUGGAGAAACGGAGGAAGUCGAAAGGCGAUGCUGGUAGGAAAGUGGACGUCAUGGAUGAUGAUGACCUGAUUGAGAGGGAGCUGGAACAUGGCGUGGAGUUGGCUGCCGAGGACGAGAAAAAACACGACAGAAGGCAGAGCUGGCCCCACCCCGCGCACCGGGAGGAUCACCAGAACACGGCUUGCAAGGCGGAGAACACCGAAGAGGGCGAGCUGUCCCUGGAUGGCCAGGAAUACCGCUCUCCUGGCCCCGACAACCGGAAGAGGAAGGACGUGCACGAGCACAGGAGCAAUGACCGCAGCGCCGAGAGAGACAUCAAGAGGCUGAGGCCAUGA
RNAcentral lists this ribosomal RNA (1485 nucleotides) under Triticum aestivum (bread wheat). RNAcentral describes it as "partial small subunit ribosomal RNA". The record is from RNAcentral. Lineage: Eukaryota; Viridiplantae; Streptophyta; Magnoliopsida; Poales; Poaceae.